Molecule: RNase P RNA, 362 nt
Filed under: Candidatus Cloacimonadota bacterium
Lineage: Bacteria; Pseudomonadati; Candidatus Cloacimonadota
Description: RNase P RNA component class A
Rfam family: Bacterial RNase P class A
About the family: Ribonuclease P (RNase P) is a ubiquitous endoribonuclease, found in archaea, bacteria and eukarya as well as chloroplasts and mitochondria. Its best characterised activity is the generation of mature 5'-ends of tRNAs by cleaving the 5'-leader elements of precursor-tRNAs.
Source: RNAcentral
AGGGAAGAACAGAUGUUCGCUGCGCUUCUUGCGCAGAGGAAAGUCCGGACACCACAGGGCAGGAUACUUCCUAACGGGAAGCUGCAGCAAUGCAGAGCCAGCGCCACAGAAACAAACCGCCUUUCGCCUUUAUGGUGAAGGGCAAGGGUGAAAUGGUAGUGUAAGAGACUACCGGUAUCCUUGGUGACAGGGAUAGCCAGGUAAGCCUUAUCCGGUGCAAUGCCAAAUAGGAAAGCUAUGAUGCUGCCCGCAUCGCUUUCGGGUAGGCAGCUUGAGCUUGCUCGCGAGGGUAAGCCCAGAUGGAUGGACAUCACUUCCGGGAAACCGGGAGCACAGAAUCCGGCUUACGAUCUUCCCUGUUU